This is a long non-coding RNA of Ostrea edulis (European flat oyster), 5951 nucleotides long. RefSeq lists it as uncharacterized. The record is from RefSeq and is a predicted model, not a curated record. The transcript has 2 exons. NCBI's taxonomy places the organism in Eukaryota, Metazoa, Mollusca, Bivalvia, Ostreida, Ostreidae.
UUCACUGGUUUGUCAACAAUGUGGAAUUUCACACUUUGCAGAGUAAUAUUUUUCUAUGAACAAGGUAACUUAACAGUUCCAGCACAAGGAAUGUAGUGUCCUGAGAAUAACUUCAGUGAUGAAGAGGUCUAUGGGUACAAUGCUGUAAUGGCCUGAAAAAUCUUUUGCAAAACCGAGAAAUGCUCAUCUUCCAUUGCCAUGAUUGUGUAAAAGGACGAGCAGAGGAAUGAUUCAAAAAUAUAUGGCAGGAUUGAGAAUCCAACCCAUGACCCGUAGUCUGGUACUCUAUCCACUGACCAAUCCAUGCUGAUGGUCCAUCUGCUACAUUGAUGUCAUCUUAUAUAUUUAUUUAUUCAUUUAUAUCAUAUGAACAUUUGACAGUAAAGUAAAAAAAAAAGUUUGAUAUUCACCAAAAUAGAAUUUGUUACAAUACAUGUUUAAGAAAUUAAGUACAUGUACAUGCAUUGUUAUGCAUACAAUUAUGUACAUGUAAUUAUAUUUGUUAAUAGAUAAAUUUUUAAAUGAAUUUUCAUGUUGUUAUUGAUAUUGAUAUGUACAUGUAUUACUUCCAUUUCUAGAAUGAUUUUAACAUCUUGAUAUUAAAAAGAUGACAAAAUAAAUAAAUCUUAAAUAUUUGUCAACAAAGUUGUCUGGUGGGUUAAAGAGGAGCAUUAGUACAUAUGUCGGUUUAAUGUGAGAAGCCUUCAGAAUGAACUUUUAUCAGUGAGAUUUUUGUAAAUUGGGGGUGAGGGGCCUUCAACAAAAAAUAUGUAUGUUGAAGGCAUCAUCCUUGGAGUUUGGUAAUAUACACUGCAAAGACUUUUACCUAGCUGAUCACAUAUAAAGGUCAAUUACAUACAAAUCAUGAAUUGUAGAAAGAUUCAUAGAUGCAUUAUCAAUGAAGGUUUGACUCCUGUAGGAUUAUAGUUAAUAGGAAAUGGCACUCUGAAAGAUUGAAAGUCUACACAUGACUACACUAGUAGGCAUCACAAUUGCUCUCUGAAACAAAUUACACAAAAUUGUAUUCUUGGAAUGAAAUGCAUAUCUUUUUAGCUCACCUGAGCUGAAAGCUCAAGUGAGCUUUUCUGAUCGCUUUUUGUCCGUCGUCUGUCCGUCUGUCUGUUAAACUUUUCACAUUUUCGACUUCUUCUCCAGAACCACUGGGCCAAUUUCAACCAAACAUGGCCAUAAGCACCCUUCGGUAAAGGGCUUUCAAGUUCUUCAAAUGAAGGGCCAUGUCCCUUUCAAAGGGGAGAUAAUCACAAAAAUGCAAAAAUAGGGUGGGGUCAUUUAAAAAUCUUCUCAAGAACCACUGGACCAGAAGAGCUGAAAUUUACCCGAAAGCUUCCUGACAUAGUGCAGAUUCAAGUUUGUUCAAAUCAUGGCCCCCGGGGAUAUGAUGGGGCCCCAAAGGGGGAUCAAAGUUUUGCACACAAAUAUAUAGGGAAACACUUUAAAAAUCUUCUUCUCAAGAACCACUAAGCCAGAAAAGCUGAGAUUUACAUGAAAGCUUCCUGACAUAAUGCAGAUUUAAGUUUGUUCAAAUCAUGGGCCCCGGGGGUUGAAUGGGGCCACAAUAGGGGAUCAAAGUUUUACAUACAAAUAUAUAGGAAAAUUCUUCUUCUCAAGAACCACUGAGACAGAAAAGCUGAUUUUUACAUGAAAACUUUCUGACAUAGUGCAGAUUCAAGUUUGUUCAAAUCAUGGCCCCCGGGGGUAGGAUGGGGCCACAAGAGGGAUCAAAGUUUUACAUACAAAUAUAUAGUUAAAAUCUUUUUCUCAAUAACCACUGAGUCAGAAAAGCUGAUAUUUACAAGAAAACUUUCUGAUAUAGUGCAGAUUCAAGUUUGUUCAAAUCAUGGCCCCCGGGGGGUAGGAUGGGGCCACAAGUGGGGGAGGGUCAAAGUUUUACAUACAAAUAUAGGAAAAAGCUUUAAAAUCUUCUUCUCAAGAACCAUUGGGCCAAAGAAGUUAACAUUUACAUGAAAGCUUUCUGACAUAGUGUAGAUUCAAGUUUGCAAAGGGUAGUUUGGGCUAUAAUAGGGACUAAGGUUUUACAUGCAAAUAUAUAUGGAAAGUCUUCAGAUAUGGGCCAAGGUGACUAAGGUGAGCGAUGUGGCCCAUGGGCCUCUUGUUUUUUAAAGAAAUAUUUAUUUAGAGGCUCAUUUCCCUGUUGUGUAAGUUACAAUGUAACAAAUAGUUAUUUGGACUACCAAUAUUUGCUUAUGACCACAAAGUAAAGAUCACAUAUCUAUAAGUAGAAAUAGUUUUUCUAUAGCUGUCGAUCACCAUGUAUUCUUGUACAAGAGAGUGAAUCUCUUCUUUUCAAAUCUAAAACAUUGCAUGUUUGAUUGCAUAUAUAUACAUUAAUUCCACCAUGUUUGGAAAAUUAAAAAAAAUGUAUUUCCCUGAAAGAUGCUAGACCUACCCUACAUAAUAAGAUAAAUGGCAAAUAUUCUUCUUUUUUAAAUAACCUGCAUGACUAAAAUAAAAAGCUUCCCAAUUAUUUCUAGAGGCAAGGUUAGAUCCACCCAGUCUGAUUAAAAUCAAAUUUCGCACUUUGCUCGAUAUACGGACAGCGACUGUCCGUAUAUCGAGCGAAGUGAGAGGUUUGAUUUUAAAUCAGACUGAGAUCCGCCACAAGGUAAAUUAGAUCGGGCUCAAAAUUUUGAGAAUUGUCACACAAUUGCAGAUGAUCUCAAAGAAAACGAUAAUCUGAAUAAAUACAAUUAAUUUGUGUAUUACUAACCAGCUUAUAUGCAUCUAGAGGGUUUGUAAGGUCUUUACGCAAGAAAUUAUCGAUAAAAAUGACAAGUCGCCAUUUGCUUUGUUUAUUCUUAAAGUUGCGAUCAGCUUACGUGUACUAGUAUAGCACACGUAGAGUUACGCUUAUUUCUGACGUAAAUCUACGUCUACGACUGUUCGUGAAUACCGUCCCACACGUAAACGUACGCUACGUCUAGAUUUACGCUACGUUUACGUCUACGAACUUUAGUAAAUAUGGGCCCAGCUGGUACUUAAAUUAGGUAUCAAAACCAGUGAGUAAAAUAAAUGAACGAAAUCGUCUGAUUGUUAACUAAACCGGUAGAAAGCAUGCCUUAAAAUAUCGCCAAAUCACGUGACUUAGGUAGAUUCUAAAACACAAAAUACGCACGGAACGGAAGAACUCGAAAAUCUCCUAUUGUGAUUGUUUUGCGUAUAUUAAGUUCAUAUUGAUAUAGAUUUUGUAGUUAAAUUAUUUUCUACUCUAUAAUGAAUUCCAAUGUAAGUUCUAAAUUGAAGCUUAGCAUGCAUGACGUUACAAAUUGAGUUUGUUUUUAAUAAUUGAUUAAAAGCUAAUGAACAUCCUUAAUACAAAUCAUUGUAACUUGUAAGUUGUCAGAACUUGUUCCCAAUCCUUUUGAUUUCAUCAAUAAAAUAUGUUCAAAACAAACAAAUCAUUCAAUUUUUAGGAACGACUCCUUAAGUAAAAUAUUACAGAAAAGUACAAUACCAGGUAUACUUUCCUGGGCUAAAACAUGUCAACACUCACUUGAAUGAGUUGACAGAGCCAAGUCCAGAGACAUCACACCGAAACUAGCAGACGAAUUUACAUUCUCAUCCGCAGAAGUAAUUUAUACGUCAAGUGAUGAUUUGCAAGCAUCUGAGGAAAUUGUAUCCAGUUCUACCCAAAAUUUUGCCGAAGAAAAUUUAAAUCCCUGUUCAGAAAUCUGGUGUUCAAUUUUAUAAUAUACAGACACAAACUCCUCUUCAUAUCCCCCAAUGAAUAUUGACAAUUUUACAAAUCCACCAGUCUUUACAAACGAAAGGUUUACUAAUUAAUAACCUGUGUGAAUAAAGUGAGCCGCCACGACAAAACCUGGGGCGCGUUUUACAAAAAGUCGUAAAUCUUACGUCCUAAGUCAUUUUGAAGAAUUUACGACAGAUCGUAGGACCGUUUUACAAAACGUAUCGUAAUCGUAUAUCGUCGUAUAUGGAACUCUUCAGCGCAUGAAGUUGUAGAAAUGAACAUAGAUACCGCGCGAAACCCGAUAGAGCUAAUUAGGGUUUAAUUAGUAAUCUUAAUUAGUAAAAAGUCCCAACAAUUUUCUUCGUCGUCUUUAUCGUAAACACAUUUCUUUACGAAAUAUUAUUCGACGUACGACUUACAUACAUCUUUCUAUCUAUGAACAGGGGCAAGUAACUCGUGGGUCACCUGCUGAAACCCGACGCUUUGACGCGCAGACACUGGGAGGAAAGAAAAUUGGACCGCACUCGUCGAUGGUGUUGCGGAACGGUAUGAUAUAUAUAAUUAAGGGUAAAUUUUCACCCUUUCUUACAGCAGAGAAGAAAGCACAGGAAAUUCGGCAGGGGUAAUUAAAAUUUAUAUUAUUAGACUAUGAAAACGAAGGUAAGAAAAUUUCAUAUUAGCAGUGUAUUUGAACGUACGAUCACCAAAUUAACUUUGAAUUAUAAUUAAGCGAAGUAAAUUUAUUCAAUUAAAUCUAUUGAUUUACCAACGUGUUGACAUAUGCAAUCUUAAUUGAUACAUUAAUUAAUAAACUAAUUCAUACUAACAGUUCAUAUACAAGUAUAUAUAUUUGACAUGUAUCUGUGACAUCAAUCUGUAUGUAUACAAUUUAGUAUUGCAUAUAACAUUAGUUAAAUGUAACUAAUUUUCAACAGUAGUUUUACAAAACUGUCAAAAAACGAUUAUCUUUUGAAAUACAUGGUUUUGAAUAUCUGCCAGUUUCAAUUUAUAAAGGGUGGGCAGAUAUUUUUAGCUUUGUUAAUUUAGACCGUACUACUUUCGCAGUUGGAAAUUUCAAAUAGUCGUGUAAUAUUCAUUGUUCUUUCUAUUAUUAAAGAUACGAGAUUUUAAUGCCUAUAUUUACCUUUCUGAUGAUAUACUGUACCCCCCCCUUCCGAAAUUAAGAAGCUUCACAUAAGUAUUGUUAAAUAAUUUCUUCUCACCCAUUAAAUGUACAAACAUAUUGAUGAUCCAUCAUUGUAAUCACAGGCACCUGAAGUAUGGACAUUACUACUCCCCCCUCCUUUCUUCUUCUUAUUUUUUUUUCUUUUUUCUUUUUUUGACGCUAGAUUUAUUUUACCGGAAGAAGGCCAAUCCCUAACGUGAAACGAUUGCCUAAAUUGGGAUGGAAUAGACCGGGAAUCCACACAUUUUGAAGAAAAUAUCGCCGCAAAAAAAAAAAAUCAAAAGGGGAGGGGGGGGGGGCACCUGACUGUAGCCAAAAUCUGUUGAUUGAAUGUUAACCAUUUGAAGCUGAUCAAUACAUGUACAUAUAAACAAUUCUUAAUUACUGCACAGUAUGUUAUGAGCAAGCAUUUUGUUUUAGAUACAUUGUAUAUACACAUGCAUUUAUAUUCGAGUUAUAACACUAAGGUGGGGUGGGUGGGUGUCAGAUUGCUUAUAAGUUAGCUGUGCUAAUACAUACAUAUUAUAUGAAUAAUUAGACUUAUUAUUUGAUCUCAAAUUAUAUAUAUAUUCCUAAUUAUCUUAAUACUAAUUAAAGAUUUCCAAUAUCAAGGGAAUUAACUUGAUUAUUUUUAAAGUUAGAUUUUGAAUAAGAGUUAUUUUUGUGUAUUGUAAUAUAUAUAUGAUAUACUAGGCUAUAUCAAAUCAUGAUUCUACAGGUACUCGGCUGUAUCAAGUGGUCUAAUAUAUAGCACAGUUGAUUUAAAAAGAAAGGUGAAUCUUUGCGGUUCGUUAAUGGCUAUAUAACAAGCAAUAUGAUGGUACUUGUUGGAGGGGGGGGGGGGGUCGUUCAAUCAAUUUAAAAAAAAUGCAACACUGUCUAUUUUUCAUAGAUAGUAAUAACUUGUAUAAUGGGGGGGGGAGGAUGUAGUUAUUAAUCAAUUCACUCACAAUUUCUUUUUCCAUUUGAAAUACAUGUACAACCAUACUAAUAGGCCUAAGUGAUAAUUUAAUGGACGGGGGUGGACAUGGAAAA